This 395-nucleotide ribosomal RNA is filed under the name uncultured bacterium. Its description in RNAcentral is "bacterial SSU rRNA". It matches the Rfam family "Bacterial small subunit ribosomal RNA", at positions 358 to 770 of the family's 1533-position model. The record is from RNAcentral.
GGAAUCUUAGACAAUGGGGGAAACCCUGAUCUAGCCAUGCCGCGUGAGCGAUGAAGGCCUUAGGGUUGUAAAGCUCUUUCGCUGGGGAAGAUAAUGACGGUACCCAGUAAAGAAGCCCCGGCUAACUCCGUGCCAGCAGCCGCGGUAAUACGGAGGGGGCUAGCGUUGUUCGGAAUUACUGGGCGUAAAGCGCGCGUAGGCGGAUUGUUUAGUGAGGGGUGAAAUCCCAGGGCUCAACCCUGGAACUGCCUCUCAUACUGGCAAUCUCGAGUCCGGAAGAGGUGAGUGGAAUUCCGAGUGUAGAGGUGAAAUUCGUAGAUAUUCGGAGGAACACCAGUGGCGAAGGCGGCUCACUGGUCCGGUACUGACGCUGAGGUGCGAAAGCGUGGGGAGCA